This 470-nucleotide ribosomal RNA is filed under the name uncultured bacterium. Its description in RNAcentral is "bacterial SSU rRNA". It matches the Rfam family "Bacterial small subunit ribosomal RNA", at positions 30 to 518 of the family's 1533-position model. The record is from RNAcentral.
UGAACGCUAGCGACAGGCUAACACAUGCAAGUCGAGGGCAGCAUAAAGUAGCAAUACUUUAGUGGCGAACGGGUGAGUAACACGUGAGCAACCUGCCUUAUACUCAGGGAUAACAGUUGGAAACGACUGCUAAUACCGGAUAAGACCACACUAUGGCAUCAUAGAGGGGUCAAAGUGCUUUAGCGGUAUGAGAUGGGCUCGCGUCCAAUUAGCUAGUUGGUGGGGUAACGGCCCACCAAGGCGACGAUUGGUAGCCGACUUGAGAGAGUGAUCGGCCACACUGGAACUGAGACACGGUCCAGACUCCUACGGGAGGCAGCAGUGGGGAAUAUUGGGCAAUGGAGGAAACUCUUACCCAGCAAUGCCGCGUGAGUGAUGAAGGUCUUUGGAUUGUAAAGCUCUUUGAUUGGGGAAGAAUAAAUGACGGUACCCAAAGAACAAGCCCCGGCUAACUAUGUGCCAGCCGCUGC